Molecule: ribosomal RNA, 321 nt
Filed under: uncultured eukaryote
Lineage: Eukaryota
Description: partial 18S ribosomal RNA
Rfam family: Eukaryotic small subunit ribosomal RNA
Source: RNAcentral
CCCUUAGAUGUUCUGGGCCGCACGCGCGCUACACUGAUCAGUGCAACAAGCAUCCGUCCUUGGCCGACAGGCCCGGGCAAUCUUUGAACGCUGAUCGUGAUGGGGAUAGACUUUUGCAAUUUUUGGUCUUCAACGAGGAAUUCCUAGUAAACGCAAGUCAUCAACUUGCAUUGAUUACGUCCCUGCCCUUUGUACACACCGCCCGUCGCACCUACCGAUUGAAUGGUCCGGUGAAAUCUCGGGACGGCGGCUUGGUCGCUUGCGUCCGACUGCUGAAACUUGAUUAAACCAUAUCAUUUAGAGGAAGGUGAANUCGUANCA